Molecule: non-coding RNA, 510 nt
Organism: Paramisgurnus dabryanus
Lineage: Eukaryota; Metazoa; Chordata; Actinopteri; Cypriniformes; Cobitidae
Source: RefSeq, a predicted model, not a curated record
UUAGCUGUAAAGGCAAGUUUGCUUUAUUUUCACUGCCAAAAAAUGAAGACCAGAAGAAUCAGUGGUUAAAAUUCAUUUUUAACACGAUACCACAGCAGUACAACAAACCCCUUUGGUUGUGUUCCCGUCAUUUUACAGACGAUUGUUUUUCCAAUCUCGGUGAGUUCAAAGCGGGAUUUUUAAAACGUUUGAACAUGAAAGAGGGUUCAUUACCAACUUUAUUUGGACCAACAAGCAUCUCAGAACCACAACCUAGUACAUCACAACAGAUUGAGUUACCAAACACUUUGUUUGUGGAGGUGGAAUGUCAGACUGAACCUCCAAACACAAAGUCAGUAGGAACACAGACAGAACUGACACAGAUAUCUGUUGGCACACAGCUAUCUACUGGUACACUGAAAGAAACACACAGUAGGAGCAAAGGAUCACAAGCAACAGUUUCUUUAGAAAGUGUUGGCACAGAAACCACUACAGCUCUUUAUGAUCUACCAUUUUCGUCUACACCUGUAA